Molecule: long non-coding RNA, 3172 nt
Filed under: Homo sapiens (human)
Lineage: Eukaryota; Metazoa; Chordata; Mammalia; Primates; Hominidae
Description: HSALNT0370569
Source: RNAcentral
AUGUAGAUAAAAUUUGUUUCAAAAUAUGGCAAAAAUAUAAGUCAAUUUAAAGGAAGAAACUUUUAAUAAUACAUUCAUAUAGCAAAAUUAUGAAAGUGGUACAAAAAUGGCAAUUUCUCUUAUCUAUUGAUGGGUAACGAGCUGUCUCAACAUUUGGUGGCUUAAAACAGCCAUUUUAUUUUGCGCAUGGUUUUGUGGGACAGGAAUUCAGGAAGGGCUCAGUGGGUAAUUUCUGUUUGAUUCACUUGGGGUCCACUAGGGCAACAGGAUCCACUUCCAAGAUGGCGUCUUCACUCACAUAUCUGGAACCUCGGUGCUCCUUGUCCUUCACGCUCCAUUUGGUGCCUUAUUUUCCAGGCCCUCUUCCCUCAGGUAGCCUGGGCUUUCUCACAGCAUGGUGGCAUCAGGGUUGUAGGAUUUCUUACAAGGCACUGACUUGUAGAAAGUUUUCAGGAGCUCCGAAUGAGGAGAUUCAAGGGCUCUGACGACCAACCGUCGGCUGUCCCAGUACGUCACUUCUUCCACAUUCUAAUGGUCAGAGUAGUCACUAAGGCCAGUCCAGGUUCGCGGAAGGAAAAUUAGAUUCCACGUCUCUAUGGGAGGACUAGCCACACUAAGCCACUGCGCUGGUUUAGAACUGUCUGAAGUCCCUCCUAGAGGUCGUGUGUUUGAUUCUGCAUCUCCGUGAUUUGUGAAUCUUGCAUCAUUUAAAUUCAGCCUUACACACUGAUGCCUUUGGUGCCGUCCCAAUAUUUAGGUAGCAAACUCGUAGUGGGUAGAGAUUCAGGCUUAAGCUUCCAGCCUGGCUCUGAGGAGAACUGUCUGGGGCUCCCUGCCCUCUUCCCCAUGGAUGAGACUCUUCCCAGCCUUGGGCAAACACAGCGGGGAGCUGGCACCAUCUCCCGCUAGACACCUCCUCCUUUUCCUCUUGCCCUUACCAUGACUCCCGAGUUAUUCUCAGAAGUAAAAGCUUUCCACGCCUGCUCUUCUCUCCUGCAGCCAGGAGUGCAAAUUUAGAUAUUGGAGCUGCUCAGGCAGAAAAAUGGCCCUGGAAUCAGGGAAGCAGAAACCUGCAGCUGCCACGAAAGGACCGCGGAGAUGAAGACCCGGAAGCUUGCAUGUGUUGAAGCCCGGGGUGUGGGGGACUGUGGUCACGUACUCGAGGGGGCUUCAGAGACCUCUGGGAAGCCCUUUCUGCCCACUCGAAGCCUGCCCCUGUGCCUGACAAUCUUCCAUCGGGAGCGAUGUCAUAAAGAAGAAAUGGAAUUCAGUGGGAAGAGUGGUGGACUCGGGGACAAAAGAUCUGGGUUUGCGCCCUGGCUCUGACCUAACUCACCAGCAUUAUUGGAGGCACGUUAGGGCUUUCAGGAGGAUUUAUCUUCUGGGCCGGAUCCUGCCUAGGAAAGGCUCAUGCAUCCUUCCUACAAAAGAGGCACUGACACUUCUGAUUAAGGUAGGAUAAGCUGUCACUUGUUGGUAAAGUUUCUACCAGUCUCUAACCCAUUGAAGGAGAAUAUUUUGCUUUCUUCUCUCAGAUCUUGUGGAUGUGCUGUGGAAAUGGAGAACCUUAACCAUUGCAUAGAAUGGACUUGGGGCAAGUUCCUGAGCUAUAAGUUACAUAGCUCAGAAGUAGCAGAGCCAGGAUCCAACACCUGUUUUGCCAUACAUCAAAUGGGGACAAUAGAAGUAACUGAUAUUAACCUAGGGCUGAAAUAAGGCAUGUCUGCUGCUUGGUGGUUGCAGUCACAGUCACAGGAAGUUUUAAAGGCACUGUAGCCAAGAGUUUGGCUUCCUCCUCACAGGUCUCUUGGGGUGGCCCUGUCCUCCCUCUUGUUUCCUUGGCACAGCAGGGUCUAGACCCUCUACUCAGCCAUACACAGGAGCCAGGCUGCUGGAAAACAUACCCCCAGCCCCAACUGCUUUGUCCAGUCUUGGGGGAGGUGGGAAAUGUACACACCUAGAAGUGAUGAUGGUAUUUCUCCUGCAGGUUCCCAUGAAAAGCAGCAUCCCAGUGAAGUCAAAGCCCUGGAACCAUCCUCUUCAUCUGUGUUGCUGCUGAGAGAUCAGAAGUCUACCUCUGGAGAUAGAAUCCUUGUCUGCUGCUGGGAUGGAGGGAAGUGCUAACAUUCCACUAGAAAGUGGGUUCUUCCAUGGAGGGACAGAAUUUGAUUCUUGCUGCUUAUACAAAGUUUUCUACACACAUAAUUGCAGCUUGUGUUUACAAAGUCAUUACCACAUGCCAAGCACGUCACAUGUCUCGCUUCAUGUAACCUUCACAGCAGCACCUUGAGGUUCUGUUAUCUCCGUUUUACAGGUAGGUAAGGUUAGUUAUUGCCCAAAGCCAUACAGUGUGUUGAGGGGCCAGAGUUUAAACACAGCUCUGUAGACUCAGUCUGUCCACGAAGCAAGAGUAUGUGCAAACCUCACCUGAUCCUCACAAUAACCUUGGAAAAGAAAUGUAUCCUCCCAUCUGAUAGAGUCCGAGUAGUCUCAGCUGCUAUAAUUGUUAUUCCUUCUGUGCUCAACAUUUGUUGGCUGGGUGACUUGAAAGCUGAAGUGAGAAAAACAGUACCUGGAACAUGGAGUAAAAACCCUUUAACAUAUGGGAAUCUACUAAACCCCAUCAGGUCAGUGAAAUAGGUACUAUUAUCACCAUUUUACAGGAGAAAAAAAGGUAAGGCUCAGGGAUGUGAAGUAUGUCCAAGAUCAAGUGCUGAUGAGUGGUGGAAGCAGAUUUAAGUGAUGGCCAUCUGACCCCACAGCCUACAUUCUUGACUGCUGCAUUACCUCCCUUCCUAUGCAUACAGACCAUGGUUGGCUGGACCAACACAGAGGUCUUUCUCUAGUGGGGUCUUCUGGGGCUUAAACAAUUCUGGAUGCUCAACUGCAGGUGCUAUGGAACCACAUUUUGGUGUUUACCUUCCUUUUCCCUUCUGCCCUGACCAAUCUAGAUACCUGCUAAAUCCCCCAAUAAAGCGUAGGGAUAGUUUGAGGCUUGUACAAAUGGUUUCAAUUGGAAAACUUCUUUGGAAUAAGUGAGUAAUUGUAGCAGGCUAUUGCUACCGAAGCCAGGAAGAGAAGAUAUUUUUCUCAAAGGGAUGCUUCAACAAGGUACUUGUGCUUGGGAAUGAUGGGCACAGACUCAUCUGCUUUUCUGAUGGAGAAGAAUGUG